Molecule: ribosomal RNA, 371 nt
Filed under: Triticum aestivum (bread wheat)
Lineage: Eukaryota; Viridiplantae; Streptophyta; Magnoliopsida; Poales; Poaceae
Description: partial small subunit ribosomal RNA
Source: RNAcentral
UCAAACAUAUCCUCUAUGGUUUCAAGGGGAUACGGAGGAUGUUACUCUUCAUAGGUGGACCGUUCGCGUGUUUUCUAUUCGGUGCAGGUCGAACCCGAGGACUUCUAAAACAACUCGUAUCGAAGAACAGGUGCUCUGGGUGGGGUAAACUCGACGCGUUAGAGAAAUUCGUUCACGCAUUAGUAAAGCUCUUCGAUAGUGGACACUGGUAACUUUCACUUAGACUUUUCAAACUGUUUCGGGUGUCGUGUUCUAUGGGGAAUGGAGGGGGACGGUGUCUCUUUCUUCUGUGAAUGGUAUAUCACGCUUAUGCCUGGGUGGUAGCAAAGUUCGUGUCACGCGCAGUCUCUCAAUAGUACCUCAAGGAUACA